This 30-nucleotide non-coding RNA is filed under the name Rattus norvegicus (Norway rat). The record is from RNAcentral. Lineage: Eukaryota; Metazoa; Chordata; Mammalia; Rodentia; Muridae.
UGGGUGUCUUCAGAUGCUGAAACUACCUGA